CUAGAAAUCAAAAAUGAACAAAAUCAAAGUAUCUAAAUUAGUUAUCAGUCAUAUGAGUUGCUUAAAAUAACCAUUGAAGAUCCCAAAAAAUGUUUUUAAAGAAGAUAAUACUACCAAGCUAAUAAACCUCUUAAGGUUUGAUGUGAAUAAUUUUAUACCAUAGUCGAAAGUGGGUUUUCCAAGAAAAACAAAAAAACAAACCCACGCACCUU
Non-coding RNA from Cinara cedri, 212 nucleotides. The record is from the annotation of a GenBank genome assembly. Lineage: Eukaryota; Metazoa; Arthropoda; Insecta; Hemiptera; Aphididae.